CCUACGGGGGGCUGCAGUAAGGAAUAUUGCACAAUGGGGGAAACCCUGAUGCAGCAACGCCGCGUGGGCGAAGAAGGCCUUCGGGUUGUAAAGCCCUUUUCUAUGGGAAGAGCAAGGACGGUACCAUAGGAACAAGUCUCGGCUAACUACGUGCCAGCAGCCGCGGUAAGACGUAGGAGGCGAGCGUUAUCCGGAUUUAUUGGGCGUAAAGGGCAAGUAGGCGGUAGACCAAGUUGGGUGUGACAUCUCCCGGCUUAACUGGGAGGGAGCGUUCAAAACUAGUCUACUUGAGGGCAGGAGAAGGGGGUGGAACUUCUAGUGUAGCGGUGGAAUGCUCAGAUACUAGGAAGAACACCAGUGGCGAAAGCGGCCCCCUAAUCUGUACCUGACGCUGAGAGGCGAAAGCUAGGGGAGCGAACGGGCUUAGAUACCCGGGUAGUC
Molecule: ribosomal RNA, 441 nt
Filed under: uncultured bacterium
Lineage: Bacteria
Description: bacterial SSU rRNA
Rfam family: Bacterial small subunit ribosomal RNA
Source: RNAcentral